RNAcentral lists this ribosomal RNA (835 nucleotides) under Chaetoceros teres. Its description in RNAcentral is "partial large subunit ribosomal RNA". It matches the Rfam family "Eukaryotic large subunit ribosomal RNA", at positions 43 to 893 of the family's 3401-position model. The record is from RNAcentral. Lineage: Eukaryota; Bacillariophyta; Thalassiosirophyceae; Chaetocerotales; Chaetocerotaceae.
UAAAUAAGCGGAGGAAAAGAAACUAACAAGGAUACCCCUAGUAACGGCGAGUGAAGCGGGUUGAGCUCAUCAUGUGAAUCUAUACAAGCAUUGUCUUGUGUCGAGUUGUGAUCUAUAGAAGCAUUGUCGGACGACGUUCUGGGCCAAGUCUCUUGGAAAGGAGCAGCAGAGAGGGUGAGACUCCCGUUCUUGCCUGGAAUGUGCGUUCAUGGCACGUGCCUUCGACGAGUCGAGUUGCUUGGGAUUGCAGCUCAAAGUGGGUGGUAAAUUCCAUCUAAAGCUAAAUACCGGUGGGAGACCGAUAGCGUACAAGUACCGUGAGGGAAAGAUGCAAAGAACUUUGAAAAGAGAGUUAAAGAGUACCUGAAAUUGCUGAAAGGGAAGCAAAGGAAACCAGUGCUGUUCCAUACCAUUCUUCCUGUGCUGCUUGCAACACGGGCGCUGUGGUUUGGAGUCGGCCAGCAUGGGUUUGGCUUGGAGCAAAUCGCUAUGCAGGAGGCAGUCCAAUCUCUGGACGAUUACUGUGUGGUGCUGCUCUGGGCUGGAUCGAGGCUAGUCAUGUGCUCGUGAUGCUGGCGAAAUGGUUUUCUUUACCCCGUCUUGAAACACGGACCAAGGAGUCUAACAUAUGUGCGAGUGUAGGGGUGGCAAACUCCAACGCGUAAUGAAAGUAACAGUGGUAGGACCUUCUGGGGCACUAUCCGCCGGCCACAAUCCUUCGGGAGAAAGGUCUGAGUGUGAGCAUACAUGUUGGGACCCGAAAGAUGGUGAACUUUGCGUGGGUAGGGUGAAGCCACGGGAAACCGUGGUGGAGGCUCGUAGCGAUUCUGACGUG